GUUGUGUUGUCAAGUGAUAAGGCCGUGAAACCCCCAAAACCCCAGACUUCUCUCUGCUCACCCAGCAAUGGCGUACAACCUCACAGCCCCGCCUUCGUCUUCUCUCUUCUCCGAAACCAGUCUAUUCUGCACCUAUCUCUCCCCUCCUAAGCUCUCACAUCUCAGAAUCCCCACAAAUCUCAACUUUCCUCCCAAACUCCAACGCCCAAAACUCUCCUUUCAUGUCUCCGCUGAAGUCUCAUUGCAGGAACCUCUCCUCAACGCAGUCGGUCAAGAUUCUGAAAUCCCAAACCAAAAGUCGGUUCCUCCAUCCAAAUCGUUCGUUUGGGUCAACCCCAAAAACCCCAAAGCCUCAAAAUUGAUGAAGACAUCUCGUGAUUUAAGGUAUGCUUCAUUACUGAAAAUCGCAGAAUCUUUAAAUUCUUGCGCUCCGUUAGAUGAUACUAUUUCGGGAGUGUUAGGUGUUCUUGGGGAUAAUAUAGUAGAGCAGGAGGCCGUGGUUAUUUUGAACAACAUGUCUAAUAGCGAAACUGCGCCAUUAGUGCUCGAUUACUUUCUGAAGAGGUUGAAGAUGAUUAGAGAAGUAGUUUUGUAUAAUGUGACUCUGAAAGUUUUUAGGAAGUGUAAGGAAUUGGGCAAGGCGGAGAGUUUGUUCAGUUUGAUGCUUGAGAGGGGGGUUAAGCCCGAUAAUGUUACAUUCUCGACUAUCAUUAGCUGCGCCAGGCUGUCGUCUUUGCCUGAGAAGGCCGUCGAGUGGUUUGAGAAGAUGUCGUCGUUUGGGUGUGAGCCUGAUAAGGUGACUUGCUCGGUGAUGAUUGAUGUGUACGGGAGAGUGGGCAAUGUGGCCGUUGCUUUGAGUAUGUAUGAUCGUGCAAGGAGCGAGAAAUGGCGUCUCGAUCCCGUGACAUUCUCCACCUUGAUUAGGAUCUAUAGGUCGGAGAGUAAUUAUGAUGGGUGUUUGAAUUUGUACGAGGAGAUGAAGGCGUUGGGGGUUAAGGCGAAUGCCUCUGUGUAUAAUGCACUCUUGGAUGCUAUGGGAAGAGCAAAGAGGCCGUGGCAGGCGAAGACUAUUUAUAGGCAGAUGCUUAAGAAUGGAGUUGAGCCGACUUGGGGAACUUAUGCUGCAUUGAUUAGGGCGUAUGGUAGGGCUCGAUAUGGCAUAGAUGCGCUUGCUGUUUAUAAGGAGAUGAAGGAGAAGGGCUUGGAGCUGAAUGUUCUUUUGUAUAAUACGCUGUUGGCCACAUGUGCUGAUGUAGGGUUUACUGAUGAAGCUGCCGAGAUUUUUGAGGAUAUGAAGCGCUCGGGGACCUGCAAGCCCGAUAGCUGGACGUAUGCUUCUUUGAUUACAAUAAAUUCUUGCAGUGGGAAAGUUGAGGAGGCGGAGGCCACGUUGAAAGAAAUGUUGGAGGGUGGUUUUGUGGCUAACAUCUUCAUCUUGACCUCAAUGAUCCAGUGCUACGGGAAAGCUGGUCGUAUAGAUGAUGUUGUGAGGACUUUUGAUCAGUUGUUGGAGUCGGGCAUAGUUCCUGAUGCGCGAUUCUCUGGUAGUCUUCUCAAUGUAAUGACCCAAGCACCAAAGGAAGAACUUGGGAAGCUGACUACAUGCAUUGAGAAGGCUCACCCGAAGCUUGGUUAUGUAGUAAAACUCGUUCUUGAUGAAGAAGAUACAGACCGAGAAAUCUUCAGAAAGGAAGUUGGUGAGCUCUUGGAAUCUAUUGGUACUGAUGUUAAAAAGGCAUACUGCAAUUGCUUGAUUGAUCUCUGUGCUAGCCUAAAUCAGCUAGAGAGAGCUUGUGAGUUGCUAGACCUCGGCCUUGCGCUCGAAAUAUACACGGAUAUCAUGUCCAAGACCCCAACACAGUGGUCUUUGCACUUGAAGAGCCUCUCUCUCGGGGCGGCCUUGACUGCCCUGCAUGUUUGGAUGAAGGAUUUGUCGAAGGCACUUGAAAAUGGGGAGGAAUUCCCAGAGUUACUCGGGAUUAACACAGGACACGGAAAGCACAAGUUUUCUGAGAGAGGUCUGGCAGGAACUUUCGAGCCACAUCUGAAGGAACUGAACGCCCCAUUUCAUGAGGCGCCAGACAAGCUUGGCUGGUUUCUGACGACAAAGGUUGCAGCGAUAUCAUGGCUGGAGUCGAGGAAUUCCCAAGAAGCAGUUUUGGCUUAGUCAGAUGUCUAAGGUUGUUGCUACUUUCUAUACUUCCAUUAGCUGAAUGUCAACUAUAUAUAAUAAAUUAAGGUUGACAAGAUGUGGGACUCCAGUGAGCUGACUUUCCUGUUUCAAAGUCAUCUGCACUUUAUAAAAUUCUUGGUUCAAGGGAUGUUGCUGCAGGAGUUUGACUAUAACAAGAUUUAUAUAUAAGUUGAGCUCAUGCCAAGUGCUUCUCAUUCAAAAAUGGGGAACUGCAUUGGAGCUUCAAGUAUCAAGUUCUGCAGGAGAAAGUUGUCAUCGUCCUCGUCUCGGAGAGAUGAGGUCGAACUUCUGAUACACAAGCGCGGCAGCAGCAACGUCAUCGGAAUACCUAAAAGAGUGAAGAUAGUGGUGAACAAGAAGCAGUUGGAGAGGCUAAUGGCGAGCAUGGAGGAGGUGCAGUCGAGACGUAUGAUGCUGCAGUCGUUGCUCAGACGAUCAAGGAAAUGGAGGCCGUCAUUGGCUGCAAUUCCAGAGCUGUAGGAGAGGGAGAAGAUAUGUUUUCUGCUUUCUUUGUUUUUCUUUUCUUUGCUGCGCAGCUUUGCCGUUUUCCAUGGGUGGCUGCAUUGCUCCUUUUUUUAGUUUUGGACUUUAAACAGGCUCGGCUACAAAUCUUGGCUGAAAAUGUAUAUAUUAAUGCUCUGCAGAUUGCCGCUCUUGUUUAGGUAGAAUAUCCAUUUAUAGAUAUUAUUAUUAUCAUUAAUCUAUCAACUUAUUUAUUUAUUUUAUCA
Molecule: RNA transcript, 2922 nt
Organism: Salvia miltiorrhiza (redroot sage)
Lineage: Eukaryota; Viridiplantae; Streptophyta; Magnoliopsida; Lamiales; Lamiaceae
Gene name: pentatricopeptide repeat-containing protein At4g16390, chloroplastic
Exons: 3
Source: RefSeq, a predicted model, not a curated record